CAAAGGUUUGGUCCUGGCCUUAUUAUCAAUUUUCUCUUAACUUACACAUGCAAGUCUCAGCGCCCCCGUGAGGACGCCUUCGCCCAUUUACUUGGACAAGGAGCCGGUAUCAGGCACAAUUAAUUUGCCCAUAACACCUAGUCCCGCCACACCCCCAAGGGUACUCAGCAGUGAUAAAUAUUGUUUAUAAGCGUCAGCUUGACUCAGUCAUGGAGAAGAGAGCCGGCCAACAAUGGUGCCAGCCGCCGCGGCUAAACCAAUGGGCUCAAGUUGAUAAUAUUCGGCGUUAAGCGUGAUUAAGGCUGACCUAAUAAUUAGAGUAAAACCUUUGUCUUAAAGCCGUGAAAAGCAUACAACAGGGAAUCUCAAAAACGAAAGUUACUCUAAUCUUUGCUUGAACACACGACAGCUAGGAAACAAACUGGGAUUAGAUACCCCACUAUGCCUAGCCGUAAAAUAUUAACUCACACCUGUAAACGCCAGGGAAUUACGAGCCAAGCUUAAAACCCAAAGGACUUGACGGUGUCCCAACCAACUAGAGGAGCCUGUUCUGUAAUCGAUGAUCCACGUUUUACCUGACCCCCCCUUGCCCUUCAGCCUGUAUACCUCCGUCGUAAACCCGCCAUAUGAAUGUUUUCCAGCGGGUACAAUGACCCCCCCCCGUCAAUACGUCAGGUCAAGGUGCAGCCCAUGGGAGGAGGAAGUGAUGGGCUACAAUUUCUAAUCUAGAACAAACGAACUACUGCAUGAAACACAGUAUGAAGGAGGAUUUAGUAGUAAAAAGAAAAUAGCAUGUUCUUUUUAACAUGGCCCUGGGACGUGUACACACCGCCCGUCACCCUCUUCGAUAACCCUAAUUUGUUACCUAACCAGCUAAUUAUCCCAGAGAAGAGGCAAGUCGUAACAUGGUAAGUGUACCGGAAGGUGCACUUGGCAAA
This 938-nucleotide non-coding RNA is filed under the name Phrynoderma hexadactylum (Indian five-fingered frog). Its description in RNAcentral is "12S ribosomal RNA". It matches the Rfam family "Bacterial small subunit ribosomal RNA". The record is from RNAcentral. Lineage: Eukaryota; Metazoa; Chordata; Amphibia; Anura; Dicroglossidae.